GACGAACGCUGGCGGCGUGCUUAACACAUGCAAGUCGAACGGAAAGGCCCUGCUUGCAGGGUGCUCGAGUGGCGAACGGGUGAGUAACACGUGGGUGAUCUGCCCCUUACUUUGGGAUAAGCCUGGGAAACUGGGUCUAAUACUGGAUAGGACCAUGCUGUAGGUGGUGUGGUGGAAAGAUUAGUUUCGGUAAGGGAUGAGCUCGCGGCCUAUCAGCUUGUUGGUGGGGUAAUGGCCUACCAAGGCGUCGACGGGUAGCCGGCCUGAGAGGGUGGACGGCCAGAUUGGACCUGGGAGAGGGCCCGGAGUCUUACGGGGGGCAGCAGGGGGGAAAAUUGCACAAUGGCGGCAAGCGUGUUGCAAGGAGGCCGCGUGGGGGGUAAGGGCCUUCGGGUGGUAAAAACCUUUCGGCCAUGAGAAAGCCUUGUGGUGACGGUAGUGGUAGAAGAAGCACCGGCUAACUACGUG
This 468-nucleotide ribosomal RNA is filed under the name uncultured bacterium. RNAcentral describes it as "partial 16S ribosomal RNA". It matches the Rfam family "Bacterial small subunit ribosomal RNA", at positions 28 to 507 of the family's 1533-position model. The record is from RNAcentral.